GCAGUAAUUUGGCUAUACUUGCACGUGACAUGGUAGUGAGUUUGGUAGAGACUAGGCAUUCACAAAAUGGCCACUGCAUCAUCAGCAGAUGCAGAGCACGAUCGGAGAGUGGCUAUACUCGAGUCUCUUUGCGCCGGAAAAUCGCCGCAGGAAAUAAUCAAGUGGUUUGGUUACAAGAAGACACAGGUUUAUGACCUAGCAAAGAAACUCAGGGAAUCUGAGAUGGAGGAAGUCAUUCCUGACCGGGUCAAACAUCGAAAGCGGUCUGACUGUAAAGGCAGUUUCACAUAGCCAGCGAUUUGCAAGAAACGAGAAGAAACAUGCGAUUAUCGUCAUUAUUUUGUCGCAGAUGCUAUCACUAUGUUAUUGCG
This 371-nucleotide long non-coding RNA is filed under the name Androctonus crassicauda. The record is from RNAcentral. Lineage: Eukaryota; Metazoa; Arthropoda; Arachnida; Scorpiones; Buthidae.